Molecule: ribosomal RNA, 240 nt
Filed under: uncultured Sphingobacterium sp.
Lineage: Bacteria; Pseudomonadati; Bacteroidota; Sphingobacteriia; Sphingobacteriales; Sphingobacteriaceae
Description: partial 16S ribosomal RNA
Rfam family: Bacterial small subunit ribosomal RNA
Source: RNAcentral
GAUGAACGCUAGCGGCAGGCUUAAUACAUGCAAGUCGUGGGGCAGCAUGGUGUAGCAAUACACUGAUGGCGACCGGCAAACGGGUGCGGAACACGUACGCAACCUUCCUUUAACUGGAGAAUAGCCCGGGGAAACCCGGAUUAAUACUCCGUAACAUUAUGAAGUGGCAUCACUUUAUAAUUAUAGCUCCGGCGGUUGAAGAUGGGCGUGCGUCUGAUUAGGUAGUUGGCGGGGUAACGG